Homo sapiens (human) is the source of this 694-nucleotide long non-coding RNA. Ensembl annotates it as long intergenic non-protein coding RNA 604. NCBI's taxonomy places the organism in Eukaryota, Metazoa, Chordata, Mammalia, Primates, Hominidae. The record is from Ensembl.
AUUUAGAUGAGCACCUUCUUGCCCUUGGAUCACCCACUCUGGGGGAAGCUGUGUCAUGAGUAGUUCUAUGAUCAGGCCCAUGUAGCCAGAAACAAAAACCUCCUGCCAAGAACUGCAUGAGUCAUCUUGGAAGUGACCCUCCCCAGUCAUGACUUCAGAUGACACUGCAACCCUGCUGGCAGUCUUUACUGAAACUUCUUGAGAAAUCUUGAGCCAGUACCACGUAGCUGAACUGCUGCCAGAUUCUUGACUCACAAAAACUGCAACAUGACAGAGUCUCGCUCUGUCGCCCAGGAUGGAAUGCAGUGGUGUGAUCUCGGCUUACUGCAAGCUCCGCCUCCUGGGUUCACACCAUUCUCCUGCCUCAGCCUCCCUAGUAGCUGGGACUACAGUAUGCUGACUUCCAGGGCCAGUUCUUCAGAAUCUGCUUUUUCUCCUGAAAUCAGGCCAUGCGAAAAGAAGAUGUUGCCUCCUGGCACAGAUCAUUCAUCCUGCCUGGUCCUCAGUCAAGUCUCCAGCAGCUUGGGAUGUCUGAAGAAUGAAAAGCCUAAGAGACAAGGCCCGGGGAUGCCCAACAUACAUUCUAUAAGUGGGGAAAGUGGAUAAAAUGUUUUCUGUGUGGAAAGGACAAAUAACAGUUAAUUUCUACUGGAAAAGUAAACAAAAACCGUAAUUAAAAUUGCUCAAAAGUAAA